This 253-nucleotide ribosomal RNA is filed under the name uncultured bacterium. Its description in RNAcentral is "partial 16S ribosomal RNA". It matches the Rfam family "Bacterial small subunit ribosomal RNA", at positions 524 to 776 of the family's 1533-position model. The record is from RNAcentral.
UACGGAGGGGGCCAGCGUUGUUCGGAAUCAUUGGGCGUAAAGGGCGCGUAGGCGGCCGGGCAAGUCGGAGGUGAAAGCCCUCGGCUCAACCGAGGAAUUGCCUCUGAUACUGCCUGGCUUGAGUCCCGGAGAGGGUAGCGGAAUUCCCAGUGUAGCGGUGAAAUGCGUAGAUAUUGGGAGGAACAUCGGUGGCGAAGGCGGCUACCUGGACGGGUACUGACGCUGAGGCGCGAAAGCGUGGGGAGCAAACAGG